AUGGCCCGUACCCUAAACCGACACAGGUGGUCAGGUUGAAAAUACUAAGGCGUUCGGGUGAACUGUGGUUAAGGAACUCGGCAAAAUGCCCCCGUAACUUCGGGAGAAGGGGGACCACACGACUUAAACCAGCCUUUGCGUUGGUGGUGGGUUGUGGGGUCGCAGAGAAUAGAGGGAAGCGACUGUUUAUCAAAAACACAGGUCCAUGCGAAGACGUUAAGUUGAUGUAUAUGGACUGACGCCUGCCCGGUGCUGGAAGGUUAAGAGGACCGGUUAGUAGUCUUUUGACUGCGAAGCUGAGAAUUUAAGCCCCAGUAAACGGCGGUGGUAACUAUAACCAUCCUA
Molecule: ribosomal RNA, 345 nt
Filed under: Corynebacterium aurimucosum
Lineage: Bacteria; Bacillati; Actinomycetota; Actinomycetes; Mycobacteriales; Corynebacteriaceae
Description: partial 23S ribosomal RNA
Rfam family: Bacterial large subunit ribosomal RNA
Source: RNAcentral